UUAAAAGCCGAGUACUCUACCGUUGAGUUAGCAACCC
Molecule: transfer RNA, 37 nt
Filed under: Orobanche crenata
Lineage: Eukaryota; Viridiplantae; Streptophyta; Magnoliopsida; Lamiales; Orobanchaceae
Also listed under: 2 other names
Description: tRNA-Lys
Source: RNAcentral